GUCAGGAUGGCCGAGCGGUCUAAGGCGCAAGACUCAGGGACAUAUUCCUAACUUCAAUAAGAGAAGUUGCAGUAUUCUGGUCUUCAAUGAAGGCGUGGGUUCAAAUCCCACUCCUGACA
This is a non-coding RNA of Daphnia pulex (common water flea), 119 nucleotides long. NCBI's taxonomy places the organism in Eukaryota, Metazoa, Arthropoda, Branchiopoda, Diplostraca, Daphniidae. The record is from Rfam.